GACGAACGCUGGCGGCGUGCUUAACACAUGCAAGUCGAACGGAAAGGCCCUGCUUUUGUGGGGUGCUCGAGUGGCGAACGGGUGAGUAACACGUGAGUAACCUGCCCUUGACUUUGGGAUAACUUCAGGAAACUGGGGCUAAUACCGGAUAGGAGCUCCUGCUGCAUGGUGGGGGUUGGAAAGUUUCGGCGGUUGGGGGUGGACUCGCGGCUUAUCAGCUUGUUGGUGUGGUAGUGGCUUACCAAGGCUUUGACGGGUAGCCGGCCUGAGAGGGUGACCGGCCACAUUGGGACUGAGAUACGGCCCAGACUCCUAAGGGAGGCAGCAGUGGGGAAUAUUGCACAAUGGGCGGAAGCCUGAUGCAGCAACGCCGCGUGCGGGAUGACGGCCUUCGGGUUGUAAACUGCUUUCGCCUGUGACGAAGAGUGAGUGACGGUAAUGGGUAAAGAAGCACCGGCUAACUACGUG
RNAcentral lists this ribosomal RNA (468 nucleotides) under uncultured bacterium. RNAcentral describes it as "partial 16S ribosomal RNA". It matches the Rfam family "Bacterial small subunit ribosomal RNA", at positions 28 to 507 of the family's 1533-position model. The record is from RNAcentral.